RNAcentral lists this long non-coding RNA (1317 nucleotides) under Chlamydomonas reinhardtii. Its description in RNAcentral is "long non-coding RNA (CREI_LNC000557)". Lineage: Eukaryota; Viridiplantae; Chlorophyta; Chlorophyceae; Chlamydomonadales; Chlamydomonadaceae. The record is from RNAcentral.
CGAUGCUGGCAAUGAGCCAGCGGCGGCUGUCCGCGAGGGAACCUGGAUCAGCGGCAACAGCAGGAGCGCUGUGGCGUGCACAGAGGGUCAGAGCGGAUCUGCCCUAUGGGCCGGCAGGGGGAUGGUACCAACGUGACAGCAAAGGCGACAGCAGCUGCCAUAAGUUGGCGCCUGGUUGCUUUCCUGGCUUGCACGACCCAUGGCGUUAUAGUAUCACGAGUGCACAAAGCUACCAAAGGCGUGGUGUCCUGUCCUCACGGUGUUCGUGCAUAUGCGUGUGUAUUCCUGUGUGCAGCGGCCCUCGUGAGGAUGCCACCCGUAUCGGCUCCGCCGGUGUGGUGCGCCGCCAGGCCGUCGAUAUCUCGCCCCUGCGCCGCGUCAACCAGGUGCGUGUGACCUCUUGAUAUGAGCGCGGGUUCUUCAGCGGGGAUCACGGCGGAUCGGUAGCGGCGGCCAUAUAAGUUCCGGCACUGCCUUCGGCGCAGUCACAGCUUCAGUCACGUGCGCAGCAACGGGUGGGGUGAGGGGCAGCGGACACCCAGGCGUUCAGGUGGAAAGGCGCAACUGCGCUGCUUGAGCUUGGCCAAAAUUGAGGAGCUUGCGGGAUAGCACAGCGGUUGCCAAUCGCUGCGCAUGGACGAACAUGCUUUGAUGAUGUGCUCGGAGUCCAGGGGUUGGAGCUUUGUUGCCCCCGAAUGGGUUGCAUGUCUGGGCAGGUUGAUUGCCAUCAGCCGCAGACGGUUGCCACAUCGCGAGGUGUUAGGAGCAAGCAGUUCUAACAUACGCCGCGCUUUGAAUGGCAGGCAGUUGGCUUGCAGCUUGCCGCCUGUGCGCCGCGGGUGCACAGCUCCGCUAUCCAUGGCUGCUUGCCAGCCGCGACUACUGCACCCCGGCCGCCUACUCACAAAUCGUCUUUGUCCUCUGUGCUUCAUGUGCACAGGCCAUCUACCUGCUGACCACUGGCGCCCGCGAGGCCGCCUUCCGCAACAUCAAGACCAUUGCGGAGUGCCUGGCUGACGAGCUGGUGAACGCUGCCAAGGGCUCGUCCAACAGGUGGGCGCCUGCGUACUAGCACGAUGGGCUAGGAUUGGAGGCGCCAGAGGCCGCCGUGAGGCGGGCGGCAGUGGUGCCGGGUUGGUCAGGCAUCCAAGAAAAAAGUGCCGCGGUUGGGUUCGGGCGAGCGGCACAUGCAUUACGGCACUGCGCCUCCACCACAUUCAAGCACUUGUGAAGUUAUUCGCUCCUGACUUUUCACACAAAUGUGCCGCGCAGCUACGCCAUCAAGAAGAAGGACGAGAUCGAGCGCGUGGCCAAGGC